UGCAAUAGUCAAAGCGGUGUUCCCUUUAUCCAAGGUAGGUGCAUGUAAGAAUCAAUAAGAUGACAACCAUCUUGCCACAUUAAGAAGACUUUUGUAAUUCCUUGCUCUCUUACGUUAAAUUAGACAACUAGAUGAUUUUUAUUUUUUUUGAUAGGUAAGAAAAGAUCUAUUAAAAAGAGGCGCCAAAAGACAACUAGAUGAAAUGAAUAGCAAAUUAUGUAAAAAAUACAAAGCAUAAAAAUUACUUUCUUCAACCAGUGAAGAAUCAAUAAGGAUGCAUAAUUACAAUGUGGACUAGAAGAGAGGCAAAUGCAAAGUUGUGUUCAUUAUAUAGAGGGAAUUGGAGAAACCAUGUAAUUCCCAUAUGUCCUUGCUUUUGACCUGGUGUUUUUUUGCACAGGAAUAGGUACUUGACCUAGGAUUUUUUGCACAGGAAUAUGUACCUGAUCUGGCAUUUUCUGCACAAGGAAAUGUACUUCAUAACUGUCACAUGUACAG
Molecule: long non-coding RNA, 498 nt
Filed under: Vitis vinifera (wine grape)
Lineage: Eukaryota; Viridiplantae; Streptophyta; Magnoliopsida; Vitales; Vitaceae
Description: long non-coding RNA (VVIN_LNC002280)
Source: RNAcentral